GACGAACGCUGGCGGCGUGCUUAACACAUGCAAGUCGAACGGAAAGGCCCCUUUUGUGGUUCUCGAGUGGCGAACGGGUGCGUAACACGUGAGUAACCUGCCCUUGACUUCUGGAUAACUUCAGGAAACUGGGGCUAAUACCGGAGAGGAAUCCUUGCUGCAUGGUGGGGGUUGGAAAGCUUCGGGGGUUUUGGAUGGACUUGCGGCUUAUCAGCUUGUUUGUGGGGUAGUGGCUUACUAAGGCUUUGUCGGGUAGCCGGGCUGAGAGGGUGACCGGCCACCUUGGCACUGAGGAGGGGCCCAGAAUCCUACGGGAGGGAGCUGGGGGGAAUAUUGCACAAGGAGCGGCGGCCGGAUGCUGCAAGGCUGCGUGUGGUAUGACGGCCUUCGGGUUGUAAACCGCUUUCAGCAGGGGCGAAGCUUGUGGUGACGGUACCUGAAGAAGAAGCACCGGCUAACUACGUG
RNAcentral lists this ribosomal RNA (465 nucleotides) under uncultured bacterium. RNAcentral describes it as "partial 16S ribosomal RNA". It matches the Rfam family "Bacterial small subunit ribosomal RNA", at positions 28 to 507 of the family's 1533-position model. The record is from RNAcentral.